This 347-nucleotide long non-coding RNA is filed under the name Elaeis guineensis (African oil palm). Its description in RNAcentral is "long non-coding RNA (EGUI_LNC012056)". The record is from RNAcentral. Lineage: Eukaryota; Viridiplantae; Streptophyta; Magnoliopsida; Arecales; Arecaceae.
GAUAGCUAUCUUUUAUGAUUGAUCUUCCUCAGAUCGGUUAUGGCCAACCUUCAAAUACCUUGGUCAUGGCCGAGAUCUGAGCUACCACCCAUAAGGUAAUAGUUUCAUAGGUAAAUCGGAUCGGAGUUCCACAUUUGACUCCUUCAGAUCAGCCAAGAUUGACCUCUUGCUAUUUUUGUACCUGCCGAGGAUCGAGCCGUCUGAGUCCUUGGUAGAUGCCGAGGAUGCAGUCGAUUAAGAUCAAGGUGGUGAUCUACAAUAGAUGCCCACUUUCAAACCUGAGCUUGGGCUAAGGUCAGUCAAAAAGAGUAUGAGCCCGAGGUCUUCGAGGUCGAACUGACGUGCUA